Molecule: long non-coding RNA, 676 nt
Organism: Scylla paramamosain (green mud crab)
Lineage: Eukaryota; Metazoa; Arthropoda; Malacostraca; Decapoda; Portunidae
Exons: 3
Source: RefSeq, a predicted model, not a curated record
GGGAAGAAGGCAAGGUGGUAGCCACUUGCGCUCCUCGCGUGAACAUUGUGCUUGUUCUUGGUGUCUCCCUUGACCUUUUGUGACCUCUCCUUGCUACGACAUUCUUUGGACCUGCUACUUCACCAGCACUAACGGAGGUGAGUGCCGGUGCCAUGAGUCGCCAAGGGGUGCCACGCUGCCUGAUGGAUGAAGUGCCACUGGGCUAUGGGUUAAGUGCACCACUUGAGGAGACAAUCAGGGGCUUUCUCCACAGUAACGUCAUCACCAAAUAUGUCAUGGAGAACUUUAGUAAAUUAACACUCUGCUCUUCCAUUUCUGUUACUCUCAUUUUUUCUUAUUGUGGUCCAGUCUUGGUGAGGAGAGACCAGACACACAGCUAGGAACACACACACACACACACACACACACACACACAUUUCAUAGAAGCUUAGGAUGUGUGUUUUUCUUUUUUUUUUUAUAUGUGUAUGUGUAUGUAUGUGUCUUGUGCGCACACCUGCCCCCCCCCCACACACACACACCUGCAAAUUGUUUAUCUGGUGUUAUCGCUUACCCUCACGAACCACCAGGAGCAGUGAACUUUUUGAAAUGGCUGUGUGAUAAUGAUAUUCUCUCUCUCUCUCUCUCUCUCUCUCUCUCUCUCUCUCUCUCUCUCUCUCUCUCUCUCUCUCUCUCUCUC